Molecule: ribosomal RNA, 517 nt
Filed under: uncultured bacterium
Lineage: Bacteria
Description: bacterial SSU rRNA
Rfam family: Bacterial small subunit ribosomal RNA
Source: RNAcentral
AGAGUUUGAUCCUGGCUCAGGAUGAACGCUAGCUACAGGCUUAACACAUGCAAGUCGAGGGGCAGCAUUGGAGUAGCAAUACUCAGAUGGCGACCGGCGCACGGGUGAGUAACACGUAUCCAACCUGCCGCUUACUCGGGGAUAGCCUUUCGAAAGAAAGAUUAAUACCCGAUGGUAUAAAGAGUUCGCAUGUUCUCUUUAUUAAAGAAUUUCGGUAAGCGAUGGGGAUGCGUUCCAUUAGAUUGUUGGCGGGGUAACGGCCCACCAAGUCUACGAUGGAUAGGGGUUCUGAGAGGAAGGUCCCCCACAUUGGAACUGAGACACGGUCCAAACUCCUACGGGAGGCAGCAGUGAGGAAUAUUGGUCAAUGGACGAGAGUCUGAACCAGCCAAGUAGCGUGAAGGAUGACUGCCCUAUGGGUUGUAAACUUCUUUUAUAAGGGAAUAAAGUGAGGGGCGUGUCCCUUUUUGUAUGUACCUUAUGAAUAAGGAUCGGCUAACUCCGUGCCAGCAGCAGC